This 2838-nucleotide long non-coding RNA is filed under the name Limulus polyphemus (Atlantic horseshoe crab). RNAcentral's name for it is "uncharacterized LOC106464236, transcript variant X2". Lineage: Eukaryota; Metazoa; Arthropoda; Merostomata; Xiphosura; Limulidae. The record is from RNAcentral.
UCUAAUUUAUUAUACUGUCGCUGUAUUUAUUUUACAGAUUUAUAAUUGAAUAAAAUCGUUAUCUUCUAUACUAUUUAUAUAUGCAUACUAAUACUAACAUUUUGUUAGUUUAGUACUCAAGAGUGAAGUUUUAGUAAAGUGUAUGAAAGUACACAGCUGGUAAAGGAAACGACGGAAAUUGCUGAAGAUGAAAUGUGUGUAUGUUCCAAAACGUGCAGUAAAUAUGUUGUUCCUCGUCAAUUCUGUGGUGGUAGUUCAUCAUUACUGAAAUAGGCCUCAACGCUAAUGCAUUUUGAAUCAACUGUGAAUAAGGUUUGCCAAUCUUUUCGUGAUGAAAGGUGACCUUGAUUAGGUGAGUUGAUAACAUGAUUUUCUUCAUAUAUUGGCAAUCUAAUUUAAUGCAUGCAUUUUCUUAUUAGAUCAUGCCUCGACAAGAAAGAAAGAGAGGCUCUGGUUGGUUCAUGCACAAUGCGAAGACAGCGCGGUUAAGGAGAACCAGAGAAACUAUGAGGAAAGGGUUGAAUGCCAACAACAUGAUCGUGAAAGGCAUAUCGAUAGAAGGAACAAAGAGAUGAAGGAGGAAAGAGCUGAACGUCUCAAUGAUCAGAGAAAUAGGACUAGCAACAGAAGGAACAAAAAGACUGAGGAGGAAAGAGCUGAACACCUCCACCAACAAAACAUUAGAAAUAAAGCAAGGAGACUUCAAUGACGUGACCUAUCUGCUGAUGUUGAACAGAUGAAUAAGAUCUGCCCCCAUUGUUGUGCAUAUCUUUUUCAUGAUCCUGCUAAACUGAGCAUGAAUACUCCAAAGGUCAUCAGGAAAAAAGAAAAGAGCAAAAUGUGGAAAAGAGUUUCUAUGAUAAGAGUACACUGAACAAACAUAUUGUUAGAAAAUGCCAGAUCUGAACACUUGGUUUCUUACAUAAGUAGUUGCCCAGAAGUGUCAGCAGUUCAUGCAAGCUACCAAAGGACUAACAUAGUGAGGAGUUACAGUAAAAAAUACUUGUUUAAUGAUGAAGGAAGACCAUUAUGUCCAGUCUGUUUCCAGUCAUUUUUUGAUACGAGUAACUUACGACGACACCUAGACAUGCAUAACCCACAGCGUCCAUUUUAUUCUUGUAACCUCUGUCAAAGGAAGUUUGCUUGGAAAAACUAUCUGAAAUUACACAAGAAACGAGUGCAUGGAAUGAAGUUUGAUAUAAGCUACUGAGGAACCUACCUUAUUAAUGAUGAGAGCCCAUUUUAGGUGAAUAUCAAGAAAUAUCAGAAGUGAGCUACCAGUAUAAACGAGCAGGCAGGAGAUCCUCAGAAAAAUAUUUAUUUAAUGACCAAGGAAGACCAUUAUGUCCAAUCUGCUCACAAACAUUUUUUGACACUAGUAACUUACGACGUCAUAUGUUCUUGCAUGAUGCACAACAUCCAAAAUAUUCUUGUGACUUCUGCCAUAAAAAGUUUACAACCAUAAACUAUCUCAAAAUGCAUACUAAAAGAGUUCACAGUGUUAAGUACCAAUCUUAAAAACUUGUUUUUUGGAGUUGAUUAUGAAAUGUGACAUUGGUGAAAUUUUGGUACAAAAAACCUUUUUAGCUUCCAAAUCUUGAGUUUUUUUAGGUGAAUAUUGAAUGAGUAAUGAUUGAAAUCUUUUUUUUUGUGAAUAUUAUUAAUGUUUUAAUGAAAAAUACUAAGGUAUAAAAAUAAUAUUUAUUUUACAAGGAAAGUCCUAGUAUUUACAUGUAAUAGUGCUUUACAAACAAUCUAGCUACAGAAUUUGUAAGUGUAGUUGGUGCUUAUGAGGUUGCAAAAGAUUGAAAAGUCCCUUUUUAUGUGUAUGUAAAGAUGUAGCCAAUCCAUUCUCUGUGGAGGCAUGUUAGCUGUGAUAAGAAUUAUCUUAUUAAUUGUUAAACAUCUUUUUUGGUAAACUUUCAUAACAUCUAGUGGUAACAUUAGUUAUGUUUAACAACAAAACAAAGCUAGCCAAGUUGUAAACUUUAUAAAUUUGUUUUUGUUUGGAAAAAAUAUUUUAAAAAUUUCAAAAUUAUUUCAAGGUGUAUGUAUUUUUUGUCAUAGCACUAAGCUUAAAAUAAUGUUUAACAGUUAUGUAAAAAAAUGUUUAUUUUAGAUGUGGUAGAAAUAAAGUAAAAAUACCACUGUGUAGUGAGAUGUCUUUAUUUCCAUUAAGUUCUUUUUUUUUUUCAGUUCUUUAUGGGGUAGUUUAUGCUUUUCCCAAUAAAUGGCUUAGCAUUUUUUUGCAACAGUUGCUUUAUAGCUUUUUGUAAGAACUCAUCAUCAUAAAUUGGAGUCUUGCAAGUUUAAGUGUAUGUGAAUAAUGGAUUUUUAUGUAUUGGCAUAUAUAAAUUUCAUCAUGUAAUUGUACUGUGAAGUUACAAAACAACAAAGCUUGAUCUAUGGUAUGAUAUUCAUAACUAGAAACAAAGAAGUUGUUUUGUAAAGAAAUGAAGUACAAGCUUAACACUGAUAAAAUUAUUUGUUUGUAAAAUGUUGGUAUUUUUCAAUUCAUAGUUAAUAAAAGCUACAACAGCAAAAAUAAAUAGAGGAAGGUGUAUAUAUUUAACAAAUUCCAUAACAAGAAGGCCCUUAAAGAACUUUUAUAACUAAAUUGGAAUUUUAAUAGAGGUAAAUAAUAAAAGAUCAUAUUAUCUAUAAAAGUUGUUUCAAAACAAGUACAAUGUUUAGCUUGGAAGCACAUAUUAAGAUGCAAAGAGUAUGUUAACCAGAUAAUUGAAUAAAUGAACUACUGCAGACACCUAAAGAGCACAUAGCAUAUACAGAAUAAAUAUUCCUGAUGUUGAUAUUAAUUGGAAGUUUCAAUGCAACAAA